This 364-nucleotide ribosomal RNA is filed under the name uncultured eukaryote. RNAcentral's name for it is "partial 18S ribosomal RNA". It matches the Rfam family "Eukaryotic small subunit ribosomal RNA", at positions 592 to 976 of the family's 1831-position model. The record is from RNAcentral.
CAGAAGCGUAUACUAACGUUGUUGCAGUUAAAAAGCUCGUAGUUGAAUUUCUGGUAAGAGCGACCAGGGCUAUCGGUUAAUCUGAUUGUUUCCCAUGCGUUGUUUUGGCCAUCCUGACCUUCCCUUUUGGGUAGGUCUCAUUUACUGUAAAAAAAUUAGAGUGUUUCAAGCAAAAUGUUAUUUUGGAAUAUAAUAGUAUGGAAUAAUAAGAUAGGACUUUUGUACUAUUUUGUUGGUUUGUAUACAAAAGUAAUGAUUAAUAGGGACAAUUGGGGGUAUUAGUAUUUAGUUGUCAGAGGUGAAAUUCUUGGAUUUACGAAAGACUAACUACUGCGAAGGCAUUUACCAAGGAUGUUUUCAUUAA